RNAcentral lists this ribosomal RNA (430 nucleotides) under uncultured bacterium. Its description in RNAcentral is "bacterial SSU rRNA". It matches the Rfam family "Bacterial small subunit ribosomal RNA", at positions 917 to 1349 of the family's 1533-position model. The record is from RNAcentral.
GGGCCCGCACAAGCGGUGGAGUAUGUGGUUUAAUUCGAUGCAACGCGAAGAACCUUACCAGGGUUUGACAUCCUGCGAAUCUCUUGGAAACAGGAGAGUGCCUUCGGGAACGCAGUGACAGGUGGUGCAUGGCUGUCGUCAGCUCGUGUCGUGAGAUGUUGGGUUAAGUCCCGCAACGAGCGCAACCCACGUCUUUAGUUGCCAGCAUUUAGUUGGGCACUCUAGAGAGACUGCCGGUGAUAAACCGGAGGAAGGUGUGGAUGACGUCAAGUCAUCAUGCCCCUUACAUCCUGGGCUACACACGUACUACAAUGGUAGGGACAACAGGUUGCCAACCCGCGAGGGUGAGCCAAUCCCAAAACCCUAUCUCAGUUCGGAUCGGAGUCUGCAACUCGACUCCGUGAAGUUGGAAUCGCUAGUAAUCGGAUAU